CCCAUAAUGACCCAGACUCCGAGUUUCGUCACCACCACAAGGCAAGUUGUCAUUGACGAUCAGUUGUCCGAUGUACCUUAAUUUUUUGUACCCCGUCGCAGCAGAGCCAAGCCCCAGCUCAAUCUUUGAACGCUUCGCCGCGGAGUAGCAAAGGAUCGAUUCGCGAACUUGUAGAUUCACAGAUUUUACUUCACAGACAUUGCUUCAAUCUGUUACUUUGAUUUUCCAGAAGAUAUUCAAUGUCUGCAUCAAGAAUUGGAAAGCUUUUCGUGCUUGGAAUUUACCUCCAAUGGCGGUUUUGACUACUUGCCGAUACAUUACGAACUCUGGAGGCUUUGAUAUUGCACUUGCUUUUAUCAGUGCGGGCAUGAAGUCCUUCCACAGACGUUUGAUAAGAUGGAUCAACUGACUGCUGAAGAAGAUUGGAAUAAAUUCUACCAAGUAUUUUGUGGUGCAGUUGUUGACCAAUUUGCUGCAAUGGAUGCAAUUUUGAUUUGGAAAGAGCCCUUUGCACUUCAGAUAAUGAUGUUCUCAUGUUGGAAAAUGUCUUUGGGAACAUAUCUGCUUAUUGCUGCAGUGCAGGCUACAUCCAUAAGUUUUGGUUGGUCUUAUCCAAAAUAUUCAGAAAUUUUGGUCUUUCCAUUUAUAUGUGGUAGAACUCUAGAAAUACUCCCUCUCUCUCUCUCUCUCUCUCUCUCUCUCUCUCGUGUUUUUUUUUUUCAAAUUUAUUUAUUUUUAUAAUUAAUUGUAGUGGGAGAGUUGCAAAAACUAAUAAAAAACUUGGUCUCCAUAAUUACUCGUAUUUUUGCAUAGUUUUUCACUACCACAAUUGGCUUCUUAUUGCAACGACAAUCAUAAUGCAGGUGCUAGUUCAAUUUCUUUGAUAGCCAUUCCUGUUAGAUUCAGUUUUGGUGGUAUGAAAUCUUUUGUAAACUCGAUAAGGCUCCCACUUGAAAGGGCAAUGUUUUGAUUGCCCAAAACAUCUCUCUCUCUCUCUUUCUCUCUGUGUUGUUGUUGCUGUUGUUGUUGUUGAUAAAUUCUCACUUUUCUUUGUUACAUAAUUGCCCAAGAUGUCUCACACCAUUAGCAUUCUUCCAUAAGAAUAUCAUAUUGUUCCCUUUGGUUGUAUCCCCAUGAUGACAAAGUUCAUCUAUAUGGCAGCACACAAAGUUUACAUGAAUGAACCGGUGCAAAGAAUGCGUCCCAUAUAUUCUUAAUAAUUUCAGUGGCAAUGGCCAGGCAAUAUGGCCUCCCCAUACAUUUAGGUUUUCUGGAGAUGGAAAGAACUGCAUGGAGAACAACACCCAAUAUGUUACUACUGUUCUUGGUACCUUGUUAUUGGAAUAAAUGCUACCGUGUAACAUGUAGUAUGGCUUUAUAUAUAGUCUUUAAAUUUUUAUUUCUUUUUUUAUUUUAUUUUUGUGUGUGUGGUAAUAAAGGAGCAAUAUUAUAUAUAAUAGGAAAGAGUCAGUCACAUAUUUCUAGGGUAGUAAACAUCCCUAGCAUCUCAAAGAGUUGAUUACAAAUACAAGGAGGUGGGUGUUGAAAAGUAUGCAUUUCUUCAUUUGUUGGAGCUCCUCGAUUUGCUAGUAGAUCGGUGCAAGCAUUUGCCUCCCUAUAGAUAUGGUUAAUUUCCAUCACUCCUAGUUGAGCCAUGAGGGACAUGCAGUGAAAAUCUUGAUUUAAUUUCUGUCACUUGUAAAUUUCUGGUCCUUUCAACUUUUGAAGCAUUUUUUUUUUCUCCUUCAAAUAAACAGCCUUUUCUAAUUUGCAUUUCAUCAUGGCUUUUGUCUUCUUUGGCUUUUCACUUUUUUUCCGCAUUUGCUGAUAUUUGUGACAUUGCAUGUCCUUUGUUUUACUCAGUUACAUAUUUCUAGGGUAGUAAACAUCCCUAGCAUCAUCAAAGAGUUGAUUACAAAUGCAAGGAGGUGGGUGUUGAAAAGUAUGCAUUUCUUCAUUUGUUGGAGCUCCUUGAUUUGCUAGUAGAUCGGUGCAAGCAUUUGCCUCCCUAUAGAUAUGGUUAAUUUCCUUCACUCCUAGUUGAGCCAUGAGGGACGUGCAGUGAAAAUCUUGAUUUAACUUUGGUCACUUAUAAAUUUCUGGUCCUUUCAACUUUUGAAACAUUUUUCUUUUCUUUUCUUUUCUUUUUUUUCUUUUUUUCUUCAAAUAAACAGCCUUUUCUAAUUUGCAUUUCAUCAUGGCCUUUGUCUUCUUUGGCUUUUCACUUUUUUCCGCAUAUGCUGAUAUUUGUGACAUUGCAUGUGCUUGUUUUACUCACCUUUGCAUCUAUAACUCCACUUUCAUCUCCAUAAUGAGAAUCAAUGUGAAUAUUUGCAAGAUCUUUGAAUUACCCAUAAUUGAACAAAUAACUUUUUAUAUUUUAAAACUCCAGUAGAAAUGACCUUGUCCAAAAUAAAGGAAAUUUUAAUUUAAUGUACUAUUCGUCUUUUAUUGUGUGUGUAUUAUUUUAAGAAUUGACACAAUUUUUUAGUGUCCAAUAUCUUUUAUGCCAGGCACUCGAGAGAACAUGUUGGAUCGAUAUUUGGGUAUUAACCUUGUUGGGCCAAAACCAUUAGUUCAAUGAGUUAACUACCGAUAUGGACUUUCCAUAAAGAAAUUGGUCCAGCCAUCAGUUUUGAGAGUGCAAAUUGAUUCAUAUUCCCUGCAAAGGCUUUUUGCCCUCUUUUAGUACAUAUAUAUGUUAGGAUUUGAUGAGUGUGGUGGGCCAUGUGGAAGACGACUAGGGAGAAAGUACUUGAAGAUUAUGAGAAGAUUGUUGAGGCUGCUGCCAAACAAAUCAAAGGCUGCACAGAAUUUGAGAAAGGGGUCAUCAACGAAAAGAAAGACUCAGAAUUUUGCGAUUUGCAGGAACUGUGUUUGAUCAACGGUUGCUGAUGAGGGAUUCGCCGAUUCUACAACGGUUCACGUAGGUCGAUCUUGGGAGAUUAGAGAUCGGAAUCGUUCAUGGUGCACAGAUUUGAGUUGAAAUCCUAUGUCGAAAGAGGGAAGAGAAGCUUGCGGAGGCUUUGGAGGAUGAUAAAGUCAUGGAGAGGUAACGGUCGAGGACGGAGUCGACGGAGGGGUUGCCGAAGGCGAAGGUGCUGCCGGCGUUGGAGAAGGUGAUGACGGUGGCUUCGGUGCUGCACAAGUUGCAGAGCUCGCCGCUCUUCUUGAAGAGGCCAUCUGUGGAAAGAAAGAGAGUGGGGAAGAGAGUGGGUAUAAUAGUCAUAUAAAAUAUUUAAAUAAUAAAUUUAUCCUUUAUGCAAGACUUUAUAAUUAUGAGGGGGUUUAGAAAGUAUAAUUUUUUUCUUAGUUCUUUUAACAAUGAAAGGAAGGUAAAGGGAGUUUAUAGCCAAAUUUCCCUAUAUUUUGGGUUUUGUUAACGAGCUAUUUAUUGAGCGUUUGUUAAGAAUUAAAUAAUAUUAAAAAAUUUAAA
Non-coding RNA from Camellia sinensis, 3436 nucleotides. The record is from RefSeq and is a predicted model, not a curated record. NCBI's taxonomy places the organism in Eukaryota, Viridiplantae, Streptophyta, Magnoliopsida, Ericales, Theaceae.